RNAcentral lists this ribosomal RNA (465 nucleotides) under Vreelandella stevensii. RNAcentral's name for it is "partial 16S ribosomal RNA". It matches the Rfam family "Bacterial small subunit ribosomal RNA", at positions 338 to 795 of the family's 1533-position model. The record is from RNAcentral. Lineage: Bacteria; Pseudomonadati; Pseudomonadota; Gammaproteobacteria; Oceanospirillales; Halomonadaceae.
CCUACGGGGGGCAGCAGUGGGGAAUAUUGGACAAUGGGGGGAACCCUGAUCCAGCAAUGCCGCGUGUGUGAAGAAGGCCCUCGGGUUGUAAAGCACUUUCAGUGAGGAAGAACGCCUGGUGGUUAAUACCCAUCAGGAAAGACAUCACUCACAGAAGAAGCACCGGCUAACUCCGUGCCAGCAGCCGCGGUAAUACGGAGGGUGCGAGCGUUAAUCGGAAUUACUGGGCGUAAAGCGCGCGUAGGUGGCUUGAUAAGCCGGUUGUGAAAGCCCCGGGCUCAACCUGGGAACGGCAUCCGGAACUGUCAAGCUAGAGUGCAGGAGAGGAAGGUAGAAUUCCCGGUGUAGCGGUGAAAUGCGUAGAGAUCGGGAGGAAUACCAGUGGCGAAGGCGGCCUUCUGGACUGACACUGACACUGAGGUGCGAAAGCGUGGGUAGCAAACAGGAUUAGAUACCCGGGUAGUC